AUUGAACGCUGGCGGCAUGCCUUACACAUGCAAGUCGAACGGCAGCACGGGUGCUUGCACCUGGUGGCGAGUGGCGCACGGGUGAGUAAUACAUCGGAACAUGUCCUGUAGUGGGGGAUAGCCCGGCGAAAGCCGGAUUAAUACCGCCUACGAACAACGGAUGAAACCGGGGGACCUUCGGGCCUCGCGCUAUACGGUUGGCCGUUAACUGAUUAGCUAGUUGGUGGGGUAAAGGCCUACCAAGGCGACGAUCAGUAGCUGGUCUGAGAGGGCGACCAGCCACACUGGGACUGAGACACGGCCCAGACUCCUACGGGAGGCAGCAGUGGGGAAUUUUGGACAAUGGGCGAAAGCCUGAUGCAGCAAUGCCGCGUGUGUGAAGAAGGCCUUCGGGUUGUAAAGCACUUUUGUCCGGAAAGAAAUCCUUGGCUCUAAUACAGGCGGGGGAUGACGGUACCGGAAGAAUAAGCACCGGCUAACUACGUG
RNAcentral lists this ribosomal RNA (486 nucleotides) under uncultured bacterium. RNAcentral describes it as "partial 16S ribosomal RNA". It matches the Rfam family "Bacterial small subunit ribosomal RNA", at positions 30 to 507 of the family's 1533-position model. The record is from RNAcentral.